Mytilus californianus (California mussel) is the source of this 734-nucleotide long non-coding RNA. RefSeq lists it as uncharacterized. The transcript has 5 exons. NCBI's taxonomy places the organism in Eukaryota, Metazoa, Mollusca, Bivalvia, Mytilida, Mytilidae. The record is from RefSeq and is a predicted model, not a curated record.
UCAGUAUCUGUACACUUAUUAAUGUCUGCCUUAUUGUUUAUUAACAUCUGAACUACUUCAGUAUGUCCUUUAUAACAAGCAAUGUACAGAGGUGAUGCUCCAGUAUCUCUACACUUAUUAAUGUCUACCUUAUUGUUUAUUAACAUCUGAACUACUUUAGUAUGUCCUUCCUGACAAGCAAUGUACAGAGGUGAUGCUCCACUAUCUGUACACUUAUUAAUGUCUGCCUUAUUGUUUAUUAACAUCUGAACUACUUCAGUAUGUCCUUUAUAACAAGCAAUGUACAGAGGUGAUUCUCCACUAUCUGUACACUUAUUAAUGUCUGCCUUAUUGUUUAUUAACAUCUGAACUACUUCAGUUUGUCCUUUAUAACAAGCAAUGUACAGAGGUGAUUCUCCAGUAUCUCUACACUUAUUAAUGUCUACCUUAUUGUUUAUUAACAUCUGAACUACUUCAGUUUGUCCUUCAUGACAAGCAAUGUACAGAGGUGAUUCUCCAGUAUCUCUACACUUAUUAAUGUCUACCUUAUUGUUUAUUAACAUCUGAACUACUUCAGUUUGUCCAUUCUGACAAGCAAUGUACAGAGGUGAUGUUCCAAUAUCUCUACACUUAUUAAUGUCUGCCUUAUUGUUUAUUAACAUCUUAACUACUUCAGUAUGUCCAUUCUGACAAGCAAUGUACAGAGGUGAUAUUCCAUCAGUAUCUGUACACUUAUUAACGUCUGCCUUAUUGUU